This 1358-nucleotide ribosomal RNA is filed under the name Cylindrospermopsis raciborskii. RNAcentral describes it as "16S ribosomal RNA". It matches the Rfam family "Bacterial small subunit ribosomal RNA". The record is from RNAcentral. Lineage: Bacteria; Bacillati; Cyanobacteriota; Cyanophyceae; Nostocales; Aphanizomenonaceae.
GGUGAGUAACGCGUGAGAAUCUGGCUCCAGGUCGGGGAUAACAGUUGGAAACGACUGCUAAUACCGGAUGUGCCGAGAGGUGAAAGAUUUAUUGCCUGGAGAUGAGCUCGCGUCUGAUUAGCUAGUUGGUGGUGUAAGGGACCACCAAGGCGUCGAUCAGUAGCUGGUCUGAGAGGAUGAUCAGCCACACUGGGACUGAGACACGGCCCAGACUCCUACGGGAGGCAGCAGUGGGGAAUUUUCCGCAAUGGGCGAAAGCCUGACGGAGCAAUACCGCGUGAGGGAGGAAGGCUCUUGGGUCGUAAACCUCUUUUCUCAAGGAAGAAGAAAGUGACGGUACUUGAGGAAUAAGCAUCGGCUAACUCCGUGCCAGCAGCCGCGGUAAUACGGAGGAUGCAAGCGUUAUCCGGAAUGAUUGGGCGUAAAGGGUCUGCAGGUGGAACUGAAAGUCUGCUGUUAAAGAGUUUGGCUUAACCAAAUAAAAGCGGUGGAAACUACAGAACUAGAGUGCGGUAGGGGCAAAAGGAAUUCCUGGUGUAGCGGUGAAAUGCGUAGAUAUCAGGAAGAACACCGGUGGCGAAAGCGUUUUGCUAGACCGUAACUGACACUGAGGGACGAAAGCUAGGGGAGCGAAUGGGAUUAGAUACCCCAGUAGUCCUAGCCGUAAACGAUGGAUACUAGGCGUGGCUUGUAUCGACCCGAGCCGUGCCGGAGCUAACGCGUUAAGUAUCCCGCCUGGGGAGUACGCACGCAAGUGUGAAACUCAAAGGAAUUGACGGGGGCCCGCACAAGCGGUGGAGUAUGUGGUUUAAUUCGAUGCAACGCGAAGAACCUUACCAAGACUUGACAUCCUGCGAAUCCUGGUGAAAGCUGGGAGUGCCUUAGGGAGCGCAGAGACAGGUGGUGCAUGGCUGUCGUCAGCUCGUGUCGUGAGAUGUUGGGUUAAGUCCCGCAACGAGCGCAACCCUCGUUUUUAGUUGCCAGCAUUAAGUUGGGCACUCUAGAGAGACUGCCGGUGACAAACCGGAGGAAGGUGAGGAUGACGUCAAGUCAGCAUGCCCCUUACGUCUUGGGCUACACACGUACUACAAUGCUACGGACAGAGGGCAGCGAGCCAGGGAUGGCAAGCGAAUCCAGAAACCGUAGCUCAGUUCAGAUCGAAGGCUGCAACUCGCCUUCGUGAAGGAGGAAUCGCUAGUAAUUGCAGGUCAGCAUACUGCAGUGAAUUCGUUCCCGGGCCUUGUACACACCGCCCGUCACACCAUGGAAGUUGGUCACGCCCGAAGUCAUUACCCCAACCGAAAGGAGGGGGAUGCCUAAGGUAGGACUGGUGACUGGGGUGAAGUCGUAACAAGGUA